GAUGAACGCUGGCGGCGUGCUUAACACAUGCAAGUCGAACGAUGAAGCACAGAUUGCUGGGUGGUUUAGUGGCGAACGGGUGAGUAACACGUGAGUAACCUGCCCUUAACUCUGUGAUAAGCCUGGGAAACUGGGUCCAAUACCGGAUAGGAGCGUCCACCGCCUGGUGGGAGUUGGAAAGAUUCAUCGGUUUUGGAUGGACACGCGGCGUAUCAGCUUGUUCGUGUGGGAAUGGCUCACCAAGGCGACGACGGGUAGCCGGCCUGAGAGGGUGACCGGCCACACUGGGACUGAGACACGGCCCAGACUCCAACAGGAGGCAGCAGUGGGGAGUAUUGCACAAUGAGCGCGAGCCUGAUGAAGCGACGCCGCGUGAGGGAUGACGGCCUUCGGGUUGUAAACCUCUUUCAGUAAGGAAGAAGCGAAAGUGACGGUACCUACAGAAGAAGCACCGGCUAACUACGUG
RNAcentral lists this ribosomal RNA (466 nucleotides) under uncultured bacterium. Its description in RNAcentral is "partial 16S ribosomal RNA". It matches the Rfam family "Bacterial small subunit ribosomal RNA", at positions 28 to 507 of the family's 1533-position model. The record is from RNAcentral.